RNAcentral lists this ribosomal RNA (465 nucleotides) under uncultured bacterium. RNAcentral's name for it is "partial 16S ribosomal RNA". It matches the Rfam family "Bacterial small subunit ribosomal RNA", at positions 28 to 507 of the family's 1533-position model. The record is from RNAcentral.
GAUGAACGCUGGCGGCGUGCUUAACACAUGCAAGUCGAACGGAAAGGCCCAAGCUUGCUUGGGUACUCGAGUGGCGAACGGGUGAGUAACACGUGGGUGAUCUGCCCUGCACUUCGGGAUACGCCUGGGAAACUGGGUCUAAUACCGGAUAGGACCACAUUUUGGAUGGUGUGGUGGAAAGUUUUUCGGUGUGGGAUGGGCUCGCGGCCUAUCAGCUUGUUGGUGGGGUAAUGGCCUACCAAGGCGUCGACGGGUAGCCGGCCGGAGAGGGUGUACGGCCUCAUGGGGACGAAGGUACGGACCAGAAGCCUACGGGAGGCAACAGUGGGGAGUAUGGCACAAUGGGCGCAAGCCUGAUGCAGCGACGCCGCGUGGGGGAUGACGGCCUUCGGGGUGUAAACUCCUGUGGCUAGGGACGAGGCGCAAGUGACGGUACCUGGAGAAGAAGCACCGGCUAACUACGUG